GCCAAGUGGUUCGAAUUCGUU
Molecule: small RNA, 21 nt
Filed under: Arabidopsis thaliana (thale cress)
Lineage: Eukaryota; Viridiplantae; Streptophyta; Magnoliopsida; Brassicales; Brassicaceae
Description: ATSL213250
Source: RNAcentral